CUGAUGGAGGGGGAUAACUACUGGAAACGGUAGCUAAUACCGCAUAACGUCGCAAGACCAAAGAGGGGGACCUUCGGGCCUCUUGCCAUCGGAUGUGCCCAGAUGGGAUUAGCUAGUAGGUGGGGUAACGGCUCACCUAGGCGACGAUCCCUAGCUGGUCUGAGAGGAUGACCAGCCACACUGGAACUGAGACACGGUCCAGACUCCUACGGGAGGCAGCAGUGGGGAAUAUUGCACAAUGGGCGCAAGCCUGAUGCAGCCAUGCCGCGUGUAUGAAGAAGGCCUUCGGGUUGUAAAGUACUUUCAGCGGGGAGGAAGGGAGUAAAGUUAAUACCUUUACUCAUUGACGUUACCCGCAGAAGAAGCACCGGCUAACUCCGUGCCAGCAGCCGCGGUAAUACGGAGGGUGCAAGCGUUAAUCGGAAUUACUGGGCGUAAAGCGCACGCAGGCGG
RNAcentral lists this ribosomal RNA (453 nucleotides) under Escherichia fergusonii. Its description in RNAcentral is "bacterial SSU rRNA". It matches the Rfam family "Bacterial small subunit ribosomal RNA", at positions 130 to 578 of the family's 1533-position model. Lineage: Bacteria; Pseudomonadati; Pseudomonadota; Gammaproteobacteria; Enterobacterales; Enterobacteriaceae. The record is from RNAcentral.